RNAcentral lists this ribosomal RNA (198 nucleotides) under Salmonella enterica. RNAcentral's name for it is "partial 23S ribosomal RNA". It matches the Rfam family "Bacterial large subunit ribosomal RNA", at positions 1 to 190 of the family's 2925-position model. The record is from RNAcentral. RNAcentral also lists the same sequence under 1 other name. Lineage: Bacteria; Pseudomonadati; Pseudomonadota; Gammaproteobacteria; Enterobacterales; Enterobacteriaceae.
GGGUUGUGAGGUUAAGCGACUAAGCGUACACGGUGGAUGCCCUGGCAGUCAGAGGCGAUGAAGGGCGUGCUAAUCUGCGAUAAGCGCCGGUAAGGUGAUAUGAACCGUUAUAACCGGCGAUACCCGAAUGGGGAAACCCAGUGUGACUCGUCACACUAUCAUUAACUGAAUCCAUAGGUUAAUGAGGCGAACCGGGGG